GAUUUUUGUAAUUUCCCCUUCAUAUAUUCUAAUAUCAGCCCAAUCCAUAACCCUAUACUGGUCCAUUUUAUAGUCCAAUUACUCCCAUCCAUAAUCUGAUAACCCAUUAAAUAGAAAAUAACCUAGCCCAAUAACCAAAUACCUCAACCCACAAGAUGACCCUUAACCACCUUUAAAAAUAACUCGGCCCAAAAACCACAAUCCACAUACAUUGCCCAUAACAACCCACAUUAAUUCAAAAUUAAAGCCAGCCCAAUUGCCAAAAAAUAUAUCUAUAUAAACACAAACAACCCAUAUCUAUUCACUUAAUGAAAUCAACACAGCCCAUCAACACCACCACACCAGCCCAAUCCAAUAUAUAUCGGCCCAAUCCCUUCUCUUUCCCCAAACCCAGAACCGCCGCAAUCCACUGCCUCUUGCUGACAUCUUGCAUUCCUCUGCCUCUGUUCCACCAAAAAUGCUCCUCAUCCAGGCCUAAAAACAGGGGACUGAGGUGGGUGCCCUUGAUUUCAAUUGAUUCAAGGGAAAUCAAGGGCUGAGGUGGGUGUUUUUAAGCCUGUCCUUAGGCCUGGAUCUGGAGCAAGCUUCCUGUUCCACAAUUCCCUGUCGAUCGCUACUUCCUACCACCACAAUAUUUGCUAAUUCAUCCCCAUCACAAUAUAGAAACCCUAACCCAUAGCCUCUCGCCACCGUCUCUUCAGCGCACCACCACACUUCGAUUGACGGCAUGCUUGUAACAUUAUCAUCUUCUCUCACAGCCGGUGAAGACAAAAUCAAGACCCGCACAUGCUUCAAUCGAAAGCCACCACCGAAGAAGGCGAUCUGAGCCGAAGAUGUCGAUUACCGUUUGGUCGACUUGAAUUUUAAAAAGGCAUUACCACUAACGACGCUACUGACUUAAUGAAGCUGUCGACCACCGAAAAUCGAAGAUUCAGUGAUGGUAUGCGGAGGAUAAUGAGCAGAUUAUUGGACCACCUCGGCCACCACCGGUUUAUGAACGUUUUGUGUUGAAGACUUCAAAAUCAGGCUGUCCAACAAAUUAACAGCUUGAUCCCAACAGCCAACCGAAAAGAAAUCCUUUUACAGAGUCAAACUUUUAAUUCCACAACGCGUCCUCACAGAGAAGCGGAUCUGUAAUUCUUGAAAUAUGAUAAUAUAGUAAAUGGGAAAUAUUGUAUAGGAUUUUCUGUGACUACUAGUACAAACUGGCAGCUGAGAAAAAAAAUUGGCAAAGAAAUUCAAAGGUUAAUUCGUUUAGGAACAAAACAUCGCUGAUACCAUGUCAAAUAUAUUCAAUAAAACUCGAUGUUCUUUGAUGUAAGAGGUUCUCUCAUUAAAUAGAACUAAAUCAAACUAAAUAUGAUAAAAACAAUCUAUCUAUAUACGGU
RNAcentral lists this long non-coding RNA (1388 nucleotides) under Olea europaea subsp. europaea. Lineage: Eukaryota; Viridiplantae; Streptophyta; Magnoliopsida; Lamiales; Oleaceae. The record is from RNAcentral.